This 588-nucleotide ribosomal RNA is filed under the name uncultured bacterium. Its description in RNAcentral is "bacterial SSU rRNA". It matches the Rfam family "Bacterial small subunit ribosomal RNA", at positions 337 to 917 of the family's 1533-position model. The record is from RNAcentral.
UCCUACGGGAGGCAGCAGUAGGGAAUCUUCCGCAAUGGACGAAAGUCUGACGGAGCAACGCCGCGUGAGCGAAGAAGGCCUUCGGGUCGUAAAGCUCUGUUGUAAGGGAAGAACAAGUGCCAUUUAACUGAUGGCACCUUGACGGUACCUUACGAGAAAGCCACGGCUAACUACGUGCCAGCAGCCGCGGUAAUACGUAGGUGGCAAGCGUUGUCCGGAUUUAUUGGGCGUAAAGCGCGCGCAGGCGGUCCUUUAAGUCUGAUGUGAAAGCCCACGGCUCAACCGUGGAGGGUCAUUGGAAACUGGGGGACUUGAGUGCAUAAGAGGAAAGUGGAAUUCCACGUGUAGCGGUGAAAUGCGUAGAGAUGUGGAGGAACACCAGUGGCGAAGUCGACUUUCUGGUCUGUAACUGACGCUGAGGCGCGAAAGCGUGGGGAGCAAACAGGAUUAGAUGCCCUGGUAGUCCACGCCGUAAACGAUGAGUGCUAAGUGUUAGGGGGUUUCCGCCCCUUAGUGCUGCAGCUAACGCAUUAAGCACUCCGCCUGGGGAGUACUGCCGCAAGGCUGAAACUCAAAGGAAUUGACGGA